This 90-nucleotide non-coding RNA is filed under the name Candidatus Acetatifactor stercoripullorum. RNAcentral describes it as "S10-Clostridia ribosomal protein leader". It matches the Rfam family "S10-Clostridia ribosomal protein leader". Lineage: Bacteria; Bacillati; Bacillota; Clostridia; Lachnospirales; Lachnospiraceae. The record is from RNAcentral.
UGAUAGCUGUGAAGCGCGAGGUUGCUGUCUGUCAGCAAUGGCAGGGAGGUUUUCCGUGGAGCGAAUGUCAAGUUAGAAAACUGACGACAA